Dunckerocampus dactyliophorus (ringed pipefish) is the source of this 163-nucleotide long non-coding RNA. RefSeq lists it as uncharacterized. The record is from RefSeq and is a predicted model, not a curated record. NCBI's taxonomy places the organism in Eukaryota, Metazoa, Chordata, Actinopteri, Syngnathiformes, Syngnathidae. The transcript is spliced from 4 exons.
AGGGAUUCGGGUUCAUAAAGAUGAUGGCAACAUGUACUUACAGAAACCAAGAUCACAGAGCCGAGGAGAAAACACUAUUGAAGUGUUUGCAUGCGCCGAUGACGAUUGCUGCGACGCGAGAGAGUUCAAAUGCCGUCAACAUUAGUUUACUCAAGGCCAAAUC